GUGUGAACUAAUAUAAAUUCAAAGUAAACAUCAUUACAUAAAAGGGUACGGUCUUUUUUUUCAAUAGUUUUAUUCGUUUCAAAUGGGCGGAUCCGGCCCCGCGGGCCGUAGUUUGCCCACGGCUGCCCCAGAGGAACGUCUG
Long non-coding RNA from Myotis davidii, 142 nucleotides. RefSeq lists it as uncharacterized. The transcript has 3 exons. Lineage: Eukaryota; Metazoa; Chordata; Mammalia; Chiroptera; Vespertilionidae. The record is from RefSeq and is a predicted model, not a curated record.